GUGAAUCAUCAAAUUUUUGAACGCAAAUUGCACUCUCCUCGGAGAGUAUGCCUGUUUGAGGUUCAGCCUAUAAAAAAUCUACAUCGUUGCUGUUUCGCGGUGGCGUUCGUCGGAAAUUGGGUCAUCUUAAUUCCUUUGGUUUUAAGGGACUUAAAAUUUUCUUUUUGUUUCCAUGAACGUUUCUACGAUUUAUUUCUUUACACGUUUAAGUUAUCGAUUUUUCUUAGUCGUUAUCAUCAUAGCGUCACGCCG
This 252-nucleotide unclassified non-coding RNA is filed under the name Glomus sp. Its description in RNAcentral is "partial contains 5.8S ribosomal RNA and internal transcribed spacer 2". The stretch from base 1 to 65 matches the Rfam family "5.8S ribosomal RNA", at positions 84 to 154 of the family's 154-position model. Lineage: Eukaryota; Fungi; Glomeromycota; Glomeromycetes; Glomerales; Glomeraceae. The record is from RNAcentral.